GGCAGAAGUCAUGCUCAGCCUCCGCUUGCCCGGUGGUGAGGGUGGAAUAUGAAGCAAACAAUAAAGAUAAUUCAUCAUCUCUAUCAGGAAAAUUGCCACAUGUUUAUUUCAGGUAACAAAAAAGAUAUAGUUAUGAUAUACAAUGACCAUAGAAUCCAAUAAAGCAACUUCUGCAAAUGAAUAGAAGGUACUUUUUCUUUAAAUGAAACUACAAAAUAGCAGCUGGUUUUAAAAACAAAGCCAAUUGUUUUAGAUUUAAUAGGCUACCACUGGCCUCUGCUAAGAUCCCCAAAUAUAUUCCUGAGCUCACAUAGAUUCCAGAAAGUCAAACUUUUCAAUAUUAUGCAAACUUUCCCUAUGCAUCCAAAAAAUUCUCAUUUAGUAAAGAGGUGAUAUGAAAUGUAAGGCAGCAUGUCCAUAUCUAUCAUUUUAAAUUGCCUUCAUGCUGUAUCAACUGGUUUUGUUUUGGGAAGCAACCAUAAUAUUGAGAGACGGGUCUUUCCUAUUUUUUCUGCUACUCAUUUCUAACUAGAUUCACUACGGAGCUCCCAAUUGCAUCUCUCUGAUCUACAAAUUUUUCUCUCUUCAGGAAGACACCUGGAAAGAAGGGACUACAUUAAAGGAGUGUGUUGGGGGCAAUGCUUUGGCCUUUUGACAUCCUAUCUAGUCUGAAGGGACCCUCACUAUUGCUAAGGAGGAGGAGUGUUUUAAAUGGAGGCUUCAGAAUGAAAGCAGAGGAAGAAGGUACUCUCUUUUUCAAAAAGAAGGAGGGUACAGGCCGGGCGCAGUGGCUCACGCCUGCAAUCCCAGCACUUUGGGAGGCCGAGGAAGGCAGAUCACGAGGUUGGGAGUUUGAGACCAGCCUGGUCAACAUAGUGAAACCCCGUCUCUACUAAAAAUACAAAAAUUAGCCAGGCAUGGUGGUGCAUGCCUGUAGUCCCAGUUACUCGGGAGGCUGAGGCAGGAGAAUCGCUUGAACUCGGGAAGUGGAGGUUGCAGUGAGCCGAGAUCAUGCCACUGCACUCCACCCUGGGUGACAGAGUGAGACUCUCAAAAAAAAAAAAAAAAAAAAAAAGAAGUAGGGUACCAAGUCAUCCACAAGGCUGUGGGAAAACAACAAAGCCAAGAGGGCACCCCAUUUUUUUGGAGUGAAAACCAACAGGGGCAAAGGCAUGCUGUAAUUUUAAAGAGACAGAGAAGAUCACCUCAGUGAGUAAGCAGCUGGUCUUUGUCAUUCCUUAAAGAGGAGACAGAACUUUUCAUGCCAUAUCGUGAACCGGGGUGCAAAGGCUCCCGGUAGGAAUAACACAUCAAAAAAUUUACUCCAACAUGUGAAUAAUUGAUAGCAGAGCCCUUUUCUAGCACUUUGCAUCGUGAUGGUGGUGCAUGUUUGGGAGGGAGGUCACAGAAGAGGAGCAACGAUGGGCAAACUAAUUUAGCUUGCUUAAGAUUGCCAAAAGCUGGGAGGGUCCAGCCGGCAUUGAGCUGAGGCCAUCAGGAGCCUCCCAGCUAGAGAGGCUUUGGGAAUAGCUGUGGGAGCAAGAGAAGGAACGGGGAGGGGAGAAGAAGGUGGGCAGAGAAGGUGUGGAAGGAGGAAGAGCAAGAGUGAGGGAUGAGAAAUGCCUGGUUUACAAAAACCAAUCCACUUCUACAGGCCUUAAUCAAAAGAAAGACAAACGCUCAUGUAAAAAUCCACACCUAGAGGCUCUCAGGCACAGAGCGAUCACAGGAGAGGCAGAGUGUGCAAACAAGCUUUCAUUAAGAGACCUGUCAGCUCUGUUUCAUUUCUCCAGGCUGCUCUGCAUUCUGCUGGCAAUCCAGCCGGAAAAAUAAUGGAAGGACAAACACGUCUGAACAGGCAAACAAAGGUGGGAACAUUCCACCUACAGAACAGGACAGAUCAGAAAGAUGCCAGGGAGGGGGGAUGAGAUGGCUUUUUUCUGAGCAAACAACCAUAGCCCCUCCCCUUAACUCCAAACUCAUCGGAAACAUGAUUUUCUGGCUUUUUAUGCAGCAACAAAAAGACAUGGGGUUCAGAGACAGCACCAUUGGUUGUCUAUUCCCAACUCUCUUACACAUCCCAAGAUAUGAUUCUGUUUUGGUGUUCAGCCUUUUAGAGUCUGAAUGUCUAGCGACAGGGCCCUUCUUCAGUUCUUAAGGGUGAAUCUUGGUGAACCUAAACAGAUCAUGGUAAUACCAUCUCCCUUGCUAAGAAAUGGUUAAGACAUUGCCAUGUGACAUCAUCAUGUGACAAGGUCUCAUGCGACCACAAGCCCCAGGUGAUCAUUCUGACCAAUAAAAUGUGAUAGGAACUGGGUUUCUCGCUCUUGAAACACACACACACACGUAUGUGGGAAGAAACUUCCUUCUGCCUUUGAACAGGUGUUAUCUGGAGCUGUUGCAGCCACCUCGUUAUCAUGAGAAAGCAGCUGACACAGCAGGAAGAGCAGGAAGAUGGAAACCUAGAACCUUGACAACUUUCUUGAAUGUAUAGCCCUGGAAUGCCUUACUUUCGAAGUUCCUGUUAUACAACAUAAUUCAUUUCCCUACCGCUUAAGUUUCUGUUAAGUGUGGCUUGAAGCUGAGAGGACCAUGACUGAUGCAGGGUUAUCUAGUGAAGUAGGGGACAGAAUGCCACAACCUUAAACUUUGAUCCUAAAAAAGACAAAAGACAGCUGUAAGUAAUUGCAGAAAGCCCCUUUAAUGUCUGUGGAACAGAAGAACCAUGUUGGAUGGGGAAAGCAGGGGCAGGACACACGUGUCGCGUAUCUAUGGGGUGUUAUCACUCCUUAUGACUCCUGCU
Molecule: long non-coding RNA, 2803 nt
Filed under: Homo sapiens (human)
Lineage: Eukaryota; Metazoa; Chordata; Mammalia; Primates; Hominidae
Description: HSALNT0070198
Source: RNAcentral